CAACUCGCCUACAUGAAGUUGGAAUCGCUAGUAAUCGCGAAUCAGAAUGUCGCGGUGAAUACGUUCCCGGGUCUUGUACACACCGCCCGUCACACCACGAGAGUUUACAACACCCGAAGUCAGUGGCCUAACCGCAAGGAGGGAGCUGCCUAAGGUGGGGUAGAUGAUUGGGGUGAAGUCGUAACAAGGUACC
Molecule: ribosomal RNA, 193 nt
Filed under: uncultured bacterium
Lineage: Bacteria
Description: partial 16S ribosomal RNA
Rfam family: Bacterial small subunit ribosomal RNA
Source: RNAcentral